AUACGGAGGGUCCAAGCGUUAUCCGGAAUCAUUGGGUUUAAAGGGUCCGCAGGCGGUCAAUUAAGUCAGAGGUGAAGGCCCAUCGCUCAACGAUGGAACUGCCUUUGAUACUGGUUGACUUGAGUUAUACGGAAGUAGAUAGAAUAAGUAGUGUAGCGGUGAAAUGCAUAGAUAUUACUUAGAAUACCGAUUGCGAAGGCAGUCUACUACGUAUAUACUGACGCUGAGGGACGAAAGCGUGGGGAGCGAACAGGAUUAGAAACCCCGGUAGUCC
Molecule: ribosomal RNA, 274 nt
Filed under: uncultured bacterium
Lineage: Bacteria
Description: partial 16S ribosomal RNA
Rfam family: Bacterial small subunit ribosomal RNA
Source: RNAcentral